This 75-nucleotide transfer RNA is filed under the name Rickettsiales bacterium. RNAcentral's name for it is "tRNA-Arg". It matches the Rfam family "tRNA". From Rfam's summary of the family: Transfer RNA (tRNA) molecules are approximately 80 nucleotides in length. Lineage: Bacteria; Pseudomonadati; Pseudomonadota; Alphaproteobacteria; Rickettsiales. The record is from RNAcentral.
GGGCAAUUAGUUCAGUGGAAGAAUAAGUGACUUCUAAUCACUCGGUCAGAGGUUCAAAUCCUCUAUUGCCCUUCA